RNAcentral lists this ribosomal RNA (1426 nucleotides) under metagenome. RNAcentral's name for it is "bacterial SSU rRNA". It matches the Rfam family "Bacterial small subunit ribosomal RNA". The record is from RNAcentral.
CGCUGGCGGCGUGCUUAACACAUGCAAGUCGAACGAGAACGGGCCUUCGGGCUGUCAGCUAAGUGGCGCACGGGUGAGUAAAGCAUAGGUAACGUGCCCUAGAGAGCGGGAUAACAGUUGGAAACGGCUGCUAAUACUGCAUAUGCCUUGAUAUCAGAAGAUAGAGAGGGAAAGAUUUAUUGUUCUAGGAUCGGCCUAUGUCCUAUCAGGUAGUUGGAGAGGUAAGAGCUCCCCAAGCCAAUGACGGGUAGCUGGUUUGAGAGGAUGAUCAGCCACACUGGUACUGAGACACGGACCAGACUCCUACGGGAGGCAGCAGUGGGGAAUAUUGCACAAUGGGGGGAACCCUGAUGCAGCAACGCCGCGUGGGGGAUGACACAUUUCGGUGCGUAAACUCCUUUUAUAUGAGAAGAUAAUGACGGUAUCAUAUGAAUAAGCAUCGGCUAACUCCGUGCCAGCAGCCGCGGUAAUACGGAGGAUGCAAGCGUUACUCGGAAUCACUGGGCGUAAAGAGCAUGUAGGCUGGUUAAUAAGUCAGGUGUGAAAUCCAACAGCUCAACAGUUGAACUGCACUUGAAACUGUUAAUCUAGAGUAUGGAAGGGGCAGAUGGAAUUAGUGGUGUAGGGGUAAAAAUCCGUAGAGAUCACUAGGAAUACCGAAAGCGAAGGCGAUCUGCUGGGACAUAACUGACGCUGAGAUGCGAAAGCGUGGGGAGCAAACAGGAUUAGAUACCCUGGUAGUCCACGCCCUAAACGAUGGACACUAGUCGUCGGUGCUUUGAUAGUAUCGGUGAUGCACUUAACAGAUUAAGUGUCCCGCCUGGGGACUACGGUCGCAAGAUUAAAACUCAAAGGAAUAGACGGGGACCCGCACAAGUGGUGGAGCAUGUGGUUUAAUUCGAAAAUACGCGAAGAACCUUACCUGGCCUUGACAUUGAUAGAAUCUUUUAGAGAUAAGAGAGUGCCUUUUCGGAGGAGCUAGAAAACAGGUGCUGCACGGCUGUCGUCAGCUCGUGUCGUGAGAUGUUGGGUUAAGUCCCGCAACGAGCGCAACCCUCGUCCUUAGUUGCUAACAGUUUAGCUGAGCACUCUAGGGAGACUGCCUUCGCAAGGAGGAGGAAGGUGAGGACGACGUCAAGUCAUCAUGGCCCUUACGGCCAGGGCUACACACGUGCUACAAUGGGGUAUACAAAGGGUUGCGAUACCGCGAGGUGGAGCUAAUCCCAUAAAAUAUCUCUCAGUUCGGAUUGUUCUCUGCAACUCGAGAGCAUGAAGCUGGAAUCACUAGUAAUCGUAGAUCAGAAUGCUACGGUGAAUACGUUCCCGGGUCUUGUACUCACCGCCCGUCACACCAUGGGAGUUGAUUUCACCCGAAACCGGGAAGCUAACCUUCGGGGGGCUACCGUUCACGGUGGAAUUAGCGACU